RNAcentral lists this ribosomal RNA (626 nucleotides) under uncultured bacterium. RNAcentral's name for it is "bacterial SSU rRNA". It matches the Rfam family "Bacterial small subunit ribosomal RNA", at positions 249 to 885 of the family's 1533-position model. The record is from RNAcentral.
UUGGUGAGGUAAUGGCUCACCAAGGCGACGACGGGUAGCCGGCCUGAGAGGGCGACCGGCCACACUGGGACUGAGACACGGCCCAGACUCCUACGGGAGGCAGCAGUGGGGAAUAUUGCACAAUGGGCGAAAGCCUGAUGCAGCGACGCCGCGUGAGGGAUGACGGCCUUCGGGUUGUAAACCACUUUCAGCAGGGAAGAAGCGAAAGUGACGGUACCUGCAGAAGAAGCGCCGGCUAACUACGUGCCAGCAGCCGCGGUAAUACGUAGGGCGCAAGCGUUGUCCGGAAUUAUUGGGCGUAAAGAGCUCGUAGGCGGCUUGUCACGUCGGGUGUGAAAGCCCGGGGCUUAACCCCGGGUCUGCAUUCGAUACGGGCUAGCUAGAGUGUGGUAGGGGAGAUCGGAAUUCCUGGUGUAGCGGUGAAAUGCGCAGAUAUCAGGAGGAACACCGGUGGCGAAGGCGGAUCUCUGGGCCAUUACUGACGCUGAGGAGCGAAAGCGUGGGGAGCGAACAGGAUUAGAUACCCUGGUAGUCCACGCCGUAAACGGUGGGAACUAGGUGUUGGCGACAUUCCACGUCGUCGGUGCCGCAGCUAACGCAUUAAGUUCCCCGCCUGGGGAGUACGG